CAGUAGCCACGGUAAAACCAGCAGCCCAAGUGGUGGUCGCGAUUAUUGGGCCUAAAGCGCUCGUAGCCGGGCCGGUAAGUCCCUUGUGAAAUCGGACGGCCUAACCGUUCGGCGUGCAAGGGAUACUGUCGGUCUUGAGGCCGGGAGACGUCCGAGGUACUCCGGGGGUAGCGGUGAAAUGUUCUGAUCCUCGGGGGACCACCGGUGGCGAAGGCGUUCGACGAGAACGGGCCUGACGGUGAGGGGCGAAGGCUAGGGGAGCAAACGGGAUUAGAUACCCCGGUAGUCCCUGUCUCUUAUA
RNAcentral lists this ribosomal RNA (301 nucleotides) under uncultured bacterium. Its description in RNAcentral is "partial 16S ribosomal RNA". It matches the Rfam family "Archaeal small subunit ribosomal RNA", at positions 459 to 759 of the family's 1478-position model. The record is from RNAcentral.